This 119-nucleotide ribosomal RNA is filed under the name Pteropus alecto (black flying fox). The record is from RNAcentral. Lineage: Eukaryota; Metazoa; Chordata; Mammalia; Chiroptera; Pteropodidae.
UAUUACAGCUUUGCCACCCUGAACGUGCCCGAUCUCGUCUGAUCUCAGAAGCUAAGCAGGGUCGGGCCUGGUUAGUACUUGGAUGGGAGACCACCUAGGAAUACCAGGUUCUAUAGGUA